AGCGAACGCUGGCGGCAGGCUUAACACAUGCAAGUCGAGCGGGCGUAGCAAUACGUCAGCGGCAGACGGGUGAGUAACGCGUGGGAACGUACCUUUUGGUUCGGAACAACACAGGGAAACUUGUGCUAAUACCGGAUAAGCCCUUACGGGGAAAGAUUUAUCGCCGAAAGAUCGGCCCGCGUCUGAUUAGCUAGUUGGUGAGGUAAUGGCUCACCAAGGCGACGAUCAGUAGCUGGUCUGAGAGGAUGAUCAGCCACAUUGGGACUGAGACACGGCCCAAACUCCUACGGGAGGCAGCAGUGGGGAAUAUUGGACAAUGGGCGCAAGCCUGAUCCAGCCAUGCCGCGUGAGUGAUGAAGGCCCUAGGGUUGUAAAGCUCUUUUGUGCGGGAAGAUAAUGACGGUACCGCAAGAAUAAGCCCCGGCUAACUUCGUGCCAGCAGCCGCGGUAAU
RNAcentral lists this ribosomal RNA (452 nucleotides) under uncultured bacterium. Its description in RNAcentral is "bacterial SSU rRNA". It matches the Rfam family "Bacterial small subunit ribosomal RNA", at positions 29 to 524 of the family's 1533-position model. The record is from RNAcentral.